AUUGAACGCUGGCGGCAGGCCUAACACAUGCAAGUCGAACGGUAACAGGAAGCAGCUUGCUGCUUCGCUGACGAGUGGCGGACGGGUGAGUAAUGUCUGGGAAGCUGCCUGAUGGAAGGGGAUAACUACUGGAAACGGUAGCUAAUACCGCAUAAUGUCGCAAGACCAAAGAGGGGGACCUUCGGGCCUCUUGCCAUCGGAUGUGCCCAGAUGGGAUUAGCUUGUUGGUGGGGUAACGGCUCACCAAGGCGACGAUCCCUAGCUGGUCUGAGAGGAUGACCAGCCACACUGGGACUGAGACACGGUCCAGACUCCUACGGGAGGCAGCAGUGGGGAAUAUUGCACAAUGGGCGCAAGCCUGAUGCAGCCAUGCCGCGUGUAUGAAGAAGGCCUUCGGGUUGUAAAGUACUUUCAGCGGGGAGGAAGGGAGUAAAGUUAAUACCUUUGCUCAUUGACGUUACCCGCAGAAGAAGCACCGGCUAACUCCGUG
This 490-nucleotide ribosomal RNA is filed under the name uncultured bacterium. RNAcentral describes it as "partial 16S ribosomal RNA". It matches the Rfam family "Bacterial small subunit ribosomal RNA", at positions 30 to 507 of the family's 1533-position model. The record is from RNAcentral.